ACACACACACCAUAUUGCUUAGCCAGCCAUAAUCGUGGCAAGGAUGAGAAGUAGUUUGAGAAAGGAAACACUUGAAGCGGUCUGGAAUCAACGUAUCAAACCCUCAUCAACACCGUCUCGCGAAACCAAUAAACGCACUAUUCCGCGCAGCGGACCUCUGUGAGAACACCCGCCUCAUUCCACCGGUGUUUCGUGACAGAGUCGGAAUGUUCUUGUGUGCACACUUUGCAGGCGGCGUCGAUUAACGGCAACGUUAAGGAGCAACACAGAGGUGGGGAAACAUUCAUGGCGCACGUUAUUCUGAGCGUUAUAAAAAAUAUAUGAGGGACUUAGGCAAAGGUUAUUUCACCUGGAAUACUUUCACAGUACAUAACGUUAACGCGCAAAUAAGUUGUGCACGAUCAGGUAAAAAUCGAUGCUUUCUCUAUAGUUGCUACGAACAUGGAAACAACCGGGGUAGGUGAGAGAAAAUCCUUGAAAGAAAUUAGUGACUGUAACUGUUGUUUUGUUGCCAAAAGACGAGACUAUAAUCAAUAGAGGAGUGCUGCAACAGUUUGUGGAAAUAAUUUCCCAGCCAUCAUCGUCGCUCAGGGUUGAGUAAGAUGCGAGACUGUCGUGAGGAUCAACAGAAUUCAGCUCAGAGGCACAUCGCUUGAUAACUGAACACUUCAUAACUGCCAGUGGAUUCCAAGAUCAACCCUGCAAAAAUCGUGAGGAAACAGCCAUGUCCACACCAUGGGAUUUUAAACCAUUUCACCAAGAGCAAACGAUUCUCAGUGAAAACUGGGCUUAUCUUAAAGGCAUAUCUGCAGCGUGAAUCUUAAGAAACUGGAAAGAGACUGGAAGGUUUACAUAGUCACCCUCCUUGGAAAUAUUGUAAAGACAAUCAGCCCUGAAAACGUUUUACGUCUUUACUGCCAUCCGUUUUUUUUUGUGUGUGUGUUUGUCUGUGUCAUCGGUUUAUUGAACAUUCUCACCUAAAAUACGUGAAGAAGGGCAUACAUUUGAUGACUCAAUUCAUAUCUGAUUUCUUUCAACUAUUUUAAAUUUGCACACCGGAUUAUUCAUUUGGUCUUUCUUUACAUGCUGAAUGAGGAUAUGCACAUUCAUUUUAGUUCAGUAAUGUAGAGGUUUGCAGGCAGAGAUGCUGAACAAACUCAAAAUGAUUCCUCAUCACACUGCCCUCAAACCCUCAAAGGAGUUCACCAUUCUGAGUAGUCCUGUUAACACGUAAACAAGAACAAGAAGAUUAGUUUCUGAGGUUGUUUUUUUUUUCACCAAGUGUAUGGAAAUUGUUUAUACUAGUUAAUAAUAGUAAACAUUCAGGGAGCAUAACCGGUCAGGGAAAUCUGCUUAAAGACUAAGUGCCAUUGCUGAAUGUAAGGAGUGCCCAAAUAAAAUAAAAUAAAUUGUGAAGACAAGCAAAACUUUAG
Molecule: long non-coding RNA, 1433 nt
Organism: Rhinichthys klamathensis goyatoka
Lineage: Eukaryota; Metazoa; Chordata; Actinopteri; Cypriniformes; Leuciscidae
Exons: 2
Source: RefSeq, a predicted model, not a curated record